AAUGAACGCUGGCGGCAUGCCUUACACAUGCAAGUCGAACGGCAGCAUGACCUCUCUUGCUCGGUUGAUGGCGAGUGGCGAACGGGUGAGUAAUGCAUCGGAACGUGCCUUUUAGUGGGGGAGCACGUAGCGCAAGUUACGCUAAUACCGCAUAUUCUCUGAGGAGGAAAGCAGGGGACCUUCGGGCCUUGCGCGAGAAGAGCGGCCGAUGUCGUAUUAGCUAGUUGGGGAGGUAAAGGCUCACCAAGGCAACGAUCCGUAGCGGGUCUGAGAGGAUGAUCCGCCACACUGGGACUGAGACACGCCCCAGACUCCUGCGGGAGGCAGCAGUGGGGAAUGUUGGACAAGGGGCGCAAGCCUGAUCCAGCCAUGCCGCGUGAGUGAAGAAGGCCUUCGGGUUGUAAAGCUCUUUCGGCUGGGAAGAAAUCGCACCCUCUAAUACAGGGUGUGGAUGACGGUACCAGCAGAAGAAGCACCGGCUAACUACGUG
RNAcentral lists this ribosomal RNA (490 nucleotides) under uncultured bacterium. Its description in RNAcentral is "partial 16S ribosomal RNA". It matches the Rfam family "Bacterial small subunit ribosomal RNA", at positions 29 to 507 of the family's 1533-position model. The record is from RNAcentral.